Molecule: non-coding RNA, 165 nt
Filed under: Syntrophus gentianae
Lineage: Bacteria; Pseudomonadati; Thermodesulfobacteriota; Syntrophia; Syntrophales; Syntrophaceae
Source: RNAcentral
GGAACUGUGAGAGACCGUCCGAAGGAAGCCGGAGUGCAAAGCUAUGAGCCGACGAACAGAAACAACAUACAAGGCUGAGUCUCCGGGUAAGUCAGCACGACAUGAAAAAGCCCUGGAUUCGGGAGAUACGGUAAAUGCUGCGGUUGCAUAGUCACAGUUUACGUU